Molecule: long non-coding RNA, 737 nt
Organism: Malurus melanocephalus (red-backed fairy wren)
Lineage: Eukaryota; Metazoa; Chordata; Aves; Passeriformes; Maluridae
Exons: 4
Source: RefSeq, a predicted model, not a curated record
AUUUAGUGUCCGGUGAGGCCCGCAGCGUUCUCUCUGUACGCUGGCCGUGGGCGGGUGUGUCCCGAGGUAGCGGCGAAUGCUUCACAUGCCCCCGAUGGACAGGAGGCCGAGCGCAGCAGGCCUGGGCAGGGGGAAGCGCUGGCGAUCUGUGCUCAGGCCUUUGGGCCCCURUGGGUGAGGGGCGCACCGAGCUCAUGACUCCUCUUACAGCCUGGGGCUGAGGCCUCACUUAACAACUUCAUGCAUGACAUGUUCAAGUCAUGGAUAAUCACACCUAAAUGUGAAGCAGUGCUCAGGACUUCUUAGGAAUAAAUAAUGUGUUCUACUGGAAGGGAUGAAAGCAGAUGUUCUAAGGACUUAAACUGACAAUAAAUAUCAGUUUGUGAUUUCCUGAGUGGCUGAUUUCUGACUUCAUAUGAGAUGAUUCCAGUUGUCAUCUCUAAUGUAUUGUCUUGGAAGUGGAAUUAAAGCAAGUGAUGGCUAAAAUUAAAUGUCUUCAAUGAUCAUAUUUAAAGAGGACCCUCACCAUUUUUUGAAACAGGAUUCCUGACAAAAAGUGCUGCAAUUUAUUUGYGGAUUUCUUGAAAUAAAAUAUGAGUAUGCUACCAAAAGUUGUAUCCUGAGGGUUUUUUGUUAACAUACUCCCUGUACCUUUAAAGCCUUUGUUUCAUGGAUGUAAUCACUUUUGCUAUCACACAGAAACAUUUUCUUGCCAUGUGCAAACUUCAUUAAACUAA